RNAcentral lists this ribosomal RNA (746 nucleotides) under uncultured archaeon. Its description in RNAcentral is "bacterial SSU rRNA". It matches the Rfam family "Archaeal small subunit ribosomal RNA", at positions 53 to 805 of the family's 1478-position model. The record is from RNAcentral.
GCGAGUCUUUGCGGUAAUGCAAGGCAUACGGCUCAGUAACACGUAGUCAACUUACCCUAUGGACGAGGAUAAUCUCGGGAAACUGAGCAUAAUACUCGAUAGAUCAUAAUGCCUGGAAUGGUUUAUGGUUGAAAUGAUUCGUCGCCAUAGGAUGGGACCGCGGCCUAUCAGCUUGUUGGUGAGGUAAUGGCCCACCAAGGCGAUUACAGGUACGGGCUCUGAGAGGAGAAGCCCGGAGAUGGGUACUGAGACAAGGACCCAGGCCCUAUGGGGCGCAGCAGGCGAGAAAACUUUGCAAUGUGCGAAAGCACGACAAGGUUAAUCCGAGUGAUUUCUGCUAAAGAAAUCUUUUGCAAGUCAUAAAACCACUAGUGAAUAAGGGGUGGGCAAGUUCUGGUGUCAGCCGCCGCGGUAAAACCAGCACCUCAAGUGGUCAGGAGGAUUAUUGGGCCUAAAGCAUCCGUAGCCGGCUCUGUAAGUUUUCGGUUAAAUCCAUGUGCUCAACGCAUGGGCUGCCGAAAAUACUGCAUAGCUAGGGAGUGGGAGAGGUAGACGGUACUCGGUAGGAAGGGGUAAAAUCCUUUGAUCUAUCGAUGACCACCUGUGGCGAAGGCGGUCUACCAGAACACGUUCGACGGUGAGGGAUGAAAGCUGGGGGAGCAAACCGGAUUAGAUACCCGGGUAGUCCCAGCUGUAAACGAUGCAGACUCGAUGAUGCAUUGGCAUACAGCCAGUGCAGUGUCGCA